This 515-nucleotide ribosomal RNA is filed under the name uncultured bacterium. RNAcentral describes it as "bacterial SSU rRNA". It matches the Rfam family "Bacterial small subunit ribosomal RNA", at positions 8 to 526 of the family's 1533-position model. The record is from RNAcentral.
AGAGUUUGAUCAUGGCUCAGGACGAACGCUGGCGGCGUGCUUAACACAUGCAAGUCACGGGGGGGUCGCAAGACUCAACCGGCGAACGGGUGCGUAACACGUGAGCGACCUGCCUUUCUGCGGGGGAUAGCCGGCCCAACGGCCGGGUAAUACCGCAUACGCUGUCGGGGGUGCAUGUCCCUGACAGGAAACCUCCGGGGCGGAGAGAGGGGCUCGCGGCCUAUCAGCUAGUUGGUGGGGUAACGGCCUACCAAGGCGACGACGGGUAGCUGGUCUGAGAGGAUGGCCAGCCACAUUGGGACUGAGAGACGGCCCAGACUCCUACGGGAGGCAGCAGUGGGGAAUCUUGCGCAAUGGUCUAACGACUGACGCAGCGACGCCGCGUGUGGGAGGACGCCCUUCGGGGUGUAAACCUCUUUCAGGAGGGACGAAGCUACUCGGGUGAAUAGCCCAGAGGGUGACGGUACCUCCAGAGGAAGCCCCGGCUAACUACGUGCCAGCCGCCGCGGUAAUAC